GAGUGAAUAGCUCAGUUGGUAGAGCGGUCGUUUUACACACGAUAGGUAAAGGGUUCGAGACCCUUUUUACUCA
Molecule: transfer RNA, 73 nt
Filed under: Cyphellophora attinorum
Lineage: Eukaryota; Fungi; Ascomycota; Eurotiomycetes; Chaetothyriales; Cyphellophoraceae
Description: Phialophora attae tRNA
Rfam family: tRNA
About the family: Transfer RNA (tRNA) molecules are approximately 80 nucleotides in length. Their secondary structure includes four short double-helical elements and three loops (D, anti-codon, and T loops).
Source: Rfam by way of RNAcentral